Molecule: ribosomal RNA, 253 nt
Filed under: uncultured Lachnospiraceae bacterium
Lineage: Bacteria; Bacillati; Bacillota; Clostridia; Lachnospirales; Lachnospiraceae
Description: partial 16S ribosomal RNA
Rfam family: Bacterial small subunit ribosomal RNA
Source: RNAcentral
UACGUAGGGGGCAAGCGUUAUCCGGAUUUACUGGGUGUAAAGGGAGCGUAGACGGUGAUGCAAGUCAGAAGUGAAAGCCCGGGGCUCAACUCCGGGACUGCUUUUGAAACUGUGUGACUGGAGUGCAGGAGAGGUAAGCGGAAUUCCUGGUGUAGCGGUGAAAUGCGUAGAUAUCAGGAGGAACACCAGUGGCGAAGGCGACCUGCUAGAACAUAACUGACGCUGAUGCGCGAAAGCGUGGGGAGCAAACAGG